AACGAACGCUGGCGGCAGGCCUAAAACAUGCAAGUCGAACGAACCGCAAGGUUAGUGGCGCACGGGUGAGUAACACGUGGGAAUGUGCCUCUGGGUACGGAACAACGUCGGGAAACUGACGCUAAUACCGUAUAAUGUCUACGGACCAAAGAUUUAUCGCCCAGAGAUCAGCCCGCGUCUGAUUAGCUAGUUGGUGAGGUAACGGCUCACCAAGGCGACGAUCAGUAGCUGGUCUGAGAGGAUGAUCAGCCACACUGGAACUGAGACACGGUCCAGACUCCUACGGGAGGCAGCAGUUAGGAAUAUUGGACAAUGGGGGAAACCCUGAUCCAGCCAUGCCGCGUGUGUGAAGAAGGCCUUAGGGUUGUAAAGCACUUUCGGCUGUGAAGAUAAUGACAGUAGCAGAAGAAGAAGCUCCGGCUAAAUUCGUGCCAGCAGCCGCCGCAG
This 447-nucleotide ribosomal RNA is filed under the name uncultured bacterium. RNAcentral's name for it is "partial 16S ribosomal RNA". It matches the Rfam family "Bacterial small subunit ribosomal RNA", at positions 29 to 523 of the family's 1533-position model. The record is from RNAcentral.